UUCGAGAUUAUUUUUACGUGCAACAGAACCUUCAUUAAAAGAAGCCGAACACAAAAAGUUUCAUAUUUGUGUCGAUAUAAGGAAUAAGUGCUGUGCGCGUAAUGAGAUUUUAUCCUUUAACGGAUUACGUAAAAACCGCUUUUUGAGCAAAUAAAGAAAAAAACAAUGAGCAGGAGAAACCUGAUAUAAAGAGAGGAAAUUUUCGCUACCGAGAUUGUUGAGCGUUGCGAGUUUCAAAGCCAUCACGUCCUCUCAAGGAUAGUUGAAAAGUUGCUUAUACGAGGAUUAGUUACACACAGCGAUAAAAUAUGAAGUUAUCUGUGAUCCUUGGCAUUAUUUUUGCCGUCGCAACUGCCGGAGCAGAAGAAGUUGAAGGAAACACGGAUAAUGAAGAAGUGUUUCGAGAAGAAUAUUGCACGAAUACUCCAACUAAAGCCGAAAAUGAGUGUUCAAGUUUUAGAUGCAACAAGGAUAACACCAAAAUUAUUGGCGUUACGUGUACUGAAGCACGUUGCAGCGGUAAACCAGUAAGUUUCAAAGGUGAUCCUUCAAAGCCUUAUCCACACUGCUGUAUGGUUCCAAUUUGCGAAGAUUCUAAAUAAAGUGAAUAAGUGCUUUCAACUAUUUUAAAAGAUUGCAAGUUAUUUUGUUAUUGUGAUGUUAUUGUAAAAGUUUUUUCAAUGCAUAUUGCUUCAUAAUGAUUAUGCCUCAAACGGAAAAGAAUAUCAAAAUAUAAACUUCAGUUAAAAUUCAAAAACUGCACUUAAUUAUAAUAAUGUAAUUCAUCUUUAAUGUAAUUUGCAAUACUAGGAAUGAUAAAAUAAUCAAUUAAAUAGCACUAAAAAAUUUAUAAUAUCAAAAACUGAAUACGGAUAUAGGUUUUUAUGCGAAUUAUAUUUGAUAUUCGUCUAUUUAUUAGUUAUAUCACUUAGAAACAUUCCACUUUUAACUGAUUUACCGUUUUAACCCACGUUGCAUAUUAGCCUCAAUUCAAUACAAGCAUAGCAUCUUAAAGUCAACAUACACACAAGAGUAUUAGUGAUUCGCGCUACAAUUCAGCGAAAUGAAUCACAGAGUGGUGCGCCCGAUGUUGUUAAAUGCCUUGAUGAGACAUCGGCAUGCUUGAUGUACAAGGGGCAUUGAAAAAACAGUGUGGAAAGCAAUAAUAGAACAACCAAUUUGACGUUACGGGCACAGGUGUUAUAUGUUAACGAUACAAGAUUUUUUUUUAAAUGAAUAAAAUUUCUAUAAAAUACA
Molecule: long non-coding RNA, 1257 nt
Organism: Nasonia vitripennis (jewel wasp)
Lineage: Eukaryota; Metazoa; Arthropoda; Insecta; Hymenoptera; Pteromalidae
Exons: 3
Source: RefSeq, a predicted model, not a curated record